RNAcentral lists this ribosomal RNA (449 nucleotides) under uncultured bacterium. RNAcentral describes it as "bacterial SSU rRNA". It matches the Rfam family "Bacterial small subunit ribosomal RNA", at positions 355 to 796 of the family's 1533-position model. The record is from RNAcentral.
UGGGGAAUAUUGGACAAUGGGGGCAACCCUGAUCCAGCCAUGCCGCGUGUGUGAAGAAGGCCUUCGGGUUGUAAAGCACUUUAAGGGGGGAGGAAGGUCCCAAAGCGAAUAACUUUGGGAAUUGACGUUACCCCCAGAAUAAGCACCGGCUAACUUCGUGCCAGCAGCCGCGGUAAUACGAGGGGUGCAAGCGUUAAUCGGAAUUACUGGGCGUAAAGCGCGCGUAGGCGGCUAGGUAAGUCGGUUGUGAAAUCCCCGGGCUCAACCUGGGAAUUGCAGCCGAGACUGCCUGGCUAGAGUGUGGGAGAGGGUGGUGGAAUUCCCGGUGUAGCGGUGAAAUGCGUAGAUAUCGGGAGGAACAUCAGUGGCGAAGGCGACCACCUGGCCCAACACUGACGCUGAGGUGCGAAAGCGUGGGUAGCAAACAGGAUUAGAUACCCCCGUAGUCC